This 307-nucleotide ribosomal RNA is filed under the name uncultured Ekhidna sp. RNAcentral describes it as "bacterial SSU rRNA". It matches the Rfam family "Bacterial small subunit ribosomal RNA", at positions 28 to 334 of the family's 1533-position model. The record is from RNAcentral. Lineage: Bacteria; Pseudomonadati; Bacteroidota; Cytophagia; Cytophagales; Reichenbachiellaceae.
GAUGAACGCUAGCGGCAGGCCUAAUACAUGCAAGUCGAGGGGCAGCACGGUUUUCGGACUGGUGGCGACCGGCGCACGGGUGCGUAACGCGUAUACAAUCUACCCAAUACUGGAGGAUAGCCCGAGGAAACUCGGAUUAAUACUCCAUGGUAUCACAGAUAGGCAUCUUGAAGUGAUUAAAGAUUUAUCGGUAUUGGAUGAGUAUGCGUCUGAUUAGUUUGUUGGUGAGGUAACGGCUCACCAAGACUACGAUCAGUAGGGGUUCUGAGAGGAUGAUCCCCCACACUGGCACUGAGAUACGGGCCAG